UAUAUUUUAGUAUAGAUGUAUAGAAAAUUUUGAAUUUUCAGGAAAUAAUUUAUUUUAUUAGAUAUAA
RNAcentral lists this transfer RNA (67 nucleotides) under Pselaphinae sp. 2 EF-2015. RNAcentral describes it as "tRNA-Gln". The record is from RNAcentral. Lineage: Eukaryota; Metazoa; Arthropoda; Insecta; Coleoptera; Staphylinidae.